UACGAAGGGGGCUAGCGUUGCUCGGAAUCACUGGGCGUAAAGCGCACGUAGGCGGAUUGUUAAGUCAGGGGUGAAAUCCUGGAGCUCAACUCCAGAACUGCCUUUGAUACUGGCGAUCUCGAGUCCGGGAGAGGUGAGUGGAACUCCGAGUGUAGAGGUGAAAUUCGUAGAUAUUCGGAAGAACACCAGUGGCGAAGGCGGCUCACUGGCCCGGUACUGACGCUGAUGUGCGAAAGCGUGGGGAGCAAACAGG
Molecule: ribosomal RNA, 253 nt
Filed under: uncultured bacterium
Lineage: Bacteria
Description: partial 16S ribosomal RNA
Rfam family: Bacterial small subunit ribosomal RNA
Source: RNAcentral